This 344-nucleotide ribosomal RNA is filed under the name Cryptococcus sp. Nom94-Y8. RNAcentral's name for it is "eukaryotic LSU rRNA". It matches the Rfam family "Eukaryotic large subunit ribosomal RNA", at positions 331 to 670 of the family's 3401-position model. Lineage: Eukaryota; Fungi; Basidiomycota; Tremellomycetes; Tremellales; Cryptococcaceae. The record is from RNAcentral.
AGACCGAUAGCGAACAAGUACCGUGAGGGAAAGAUGAAAAGCACUUUGGAAAGAGAGUUAAACAGCACGUGAAAUUGUUAAAAGGGAAACGAUUGAAGUCAGUCGUGUGAAAGGUAUUCAGCCGUCUCUGGCGGUGUAUUUGCCUUUCACGGGUCAACAUCAGUUUGAUCCGGUAGAAAAAGGCGGGAGGAAGGUGGCACCCUCGGGUGUGUUAUAGCCUCCUGUCAUAUGUGCCGGACCAGACUGAGGAACGCAGCUUGCCGCAAGGCCGGGGUUCGCCCACGUACAAGCUUAGGAUGUUGACAUAAUGGCUUUAAACGACCCGUCUUGAAACACGGACCAAG